This 213-nucleotide long non-coding RNA is filed under the name Elaeis guineensis (African oil palm). RNAcentral's name for it is "long non-coding RNA (EGUI_LNC013122)". The record is from RNAcentral. Lineage: Eukaryota; Viridiplantae; Streptophyta; Magnoliopsida; Arecales; Arecaceae.
GAUCAUGGUGCUCCAAAUUUAUCUGCAUCUUAGGAGGCAGAGGCAGCUCGGCUCACACCUCCAUCAAAAUCUCUCUUCUAGAAAUAUUCAAAGGAGUGAGAUCGCUGAACUGCCUUGGAGAUGAGCGAUUUUCACCAUUUUGCUUGGGUGAGCGAGCCCCGCUCUGCUCUUGAUUUCUAUAGUUGGGAUUAUUCAGGUAGUUUCUUCUGCCAG